CAAGUCGAACGGCAGCGCGUGGAGCAUCCUGGCGGCGAGUGGCGAACGGGUGAGUAAUACAUCGGAACGUGUCCUGUAGUGGGGGAUAGCCCGGCGAAAGCCGGAUUAAUACCGCAUACGAUCUACGGAUGAAAGCGGGGGAUCGCAAGACCUCGCGCUAUAGGGGCGGCCGAUGGCGGAUUAGCUAGUUGGUGGGGUAAAGGCCCACCAAGGCGACGAUCCGUAGCUGGUCUGAGAGGACGACCAGCCACACUGGGACUGAGACACGGCCCAGACUCCUACGGGAGGCAGCAGUGGGGAAUUUUGGACAAUGGGCGCAAGCCUGAUCCAGCAAUGCCGCGUGUGUGAAGAAGGCCUUCGGGUUGUAAAGCACUUUUGUCCGGAAAGAAAUCCUCUGGGUUAAUACCCCGGGGGGAUGACGGUACCGGAAGAAUAAGCACCGGCUAACUACGUGCCAGCAGCCGCGGUAAUACGUAGGGUGCGAGCGUUAAUCGGAAUUACUGGGCGUUAAGCGUGCGCAGGCGGUGAAUGCAUCACGAUGUGAAAUCCCCGGGCUUAACCUGGGAACUGCAUUGGUGACUGCAUCGCUGG
This 591-nucleotide ribosomal RNA is filed under the name Burkholderia sp. Mf93. RNAcentral's name for it is "bacterial SSU rRNA". It matches the Rfam family "Bacterial small subunit ribosomal RNA", at positions 58 to 644 of the family's 1533-position model. Lineage: Bacteria; Pseudomonadati; Pseudomonadota; Betaproteobacteria; Burkholderiales; Burkholderiaceae. The record is from RNAcentral.